GGGAAACAAACAAACAAAACUAAGACAUCCUUGUGGAGACGUACAACAAUGGUUUGGAAAAGUAAAACUUAGAAGGGGUAAAAAUCUAAAAGAACAAUAACUCAUUAUACUACAAGAAAAUAAAAUAACAAAUAUAACUUGAGAACUUUGGAACAUCUCAUUUGAAUCGAUUCUCUAACGAUGGAUUAGAACAAAUAACAAUUG
RNAcentral lists this unclassified non-coding RNA (204 nucleotides) under Hevea brasiliensis (rubber tree). Lineage: Eukaryota; Viridiplantae; Streptophyta; Magnoliopsida; Malpighiales; Euphorbiaceae. The record is from RNAcentral.